RNAcentral lists this ribosomal RNA (415 nucleotides) under uncultured prokaryote. Its description in RNAcentral is "bacterial SSU rRNA". It matches the Rfam family "Bacterial small subunit ribosomal RNA", at positions 505 to 918 of the family's 1533-position model. The record is from RNAcentral.
GUGUCAGCAGCCGCGGUAAGACGAACCGUCCGAACGUUAUUCGGUAUCACUGGGCUUAAAGAGUUCGUAGGCGGCCAGAUAGGUCAGGUGUGAAAUCCCACAGCUCAACUGUGGAACUGCGCUUGAAACCAUCUGGCUUGAGGGAGAUAGAGGUGAGCGGAACUGAUGGUGGAGCGGUGAAAUGCGUUGAUAUCAUCAGGAACACCGGUGGCGAAGGCGGCUCACUGGGUCUCUUCUGACGCUGAGGAACGAAAGCUAGGGGAGCGAACGGGAUUAGAUACCCCGGUAGUCCUAGCCGUAAACGAUGAGCACUAGCCCGUGGGGACCCUCACAUCCUCUCGGGCGUAGCGAAAGUGUCAAGUGCUCCGCCUGGGGAGUAUGGUCGCAAGGCUGAAACUCAAAUGAAUUGACGGGG